Long non-coding RNA from Anguilla anguilla (European eel), 188 nucleotides. RefSeq lists it as uncharacterized. The transcript is spliced from 4 exons. Lineage: Eukaryota; Metazoa; Chordata; Actinopteri; Anguilliformes; Anguillidae. The record is from RefSeq and is a predicted model, not a curated record.
GCGAGGUCACGGAAAGACCACGAUUAUUCUCUGCAGGGGGAGCCGAUGACUGUAGAAUUCUGCCUUUUGUCUGCAAUGGCAGUGCGAGAGGAGUAAGGAAAUUGGCGUCCCUCAACAGUUACUCCCUUCUACAUUCCAGCUGAGCCAUGGAGUGGAAGGUCACAUACACAGAAGGGAGGAAAAGAGAU